AAUCCUGGGAGUUGAAGUCCACUCACCUUCGAUUGGCCAAGGUUGAGAUACACUGCUUUAUCAGAAUAUGAAGAAGCUCCUGUUCACAGGAAUAGAAAUUCCUUCCAAAUCUUCCCUUUGAACAUGUCUGCCUAAGGAGAGUUUAUACAGAGUGAAGAAUUUCCUUGCAAGCACAAUGUUAUCAAUGAAGCCACAACUAGCCAAUUUGACACGGAUGAUGAUCUGGCGAUCAGGAACCAUCAUUGCCACUGAGCGGAAGUUGAUUUUCAGGUUUUCAGGCUCCAUUUUCUGCAUCAAAAGCUUUUGCGAAGGAAAUGGAAGGGUGUGUAAGAACACAAGAUCAAACGAGAACAGCUUCAUCAGCAUCUGAGAAGAUGGUCGCUUUUCUGCCAUGUGGCCCUGAGCUCUGCCGAUCUUUGAAAGGUCAAAACAAUUGCAAUUUGCUGGGCAGCAACAGACAGCACUGGUAAAUCAAUGCGGUUAAAUUCAUCAAAGCAGCCCCAGGAUCCAGACUGAGCAAGACCUUAAAUCAGAGGAAAGGUUGUUAUUAAAAGGAGUCAGCCCUGCGCUCAUUUUGCAUAAUUAGAUAUCAAAUCCCAGUGUUUUGUAAAUUUUUAAAAAAGUUAAAGCAAGUUCAGAGAAGGCUAGAGCUGAAUUUAUGAUAUUUAAAAUGUGCUUGAAAUGUUGGUACUUCUAUCAGAUAAAAGGAUUAAAAUCAAGAUGCCUGAAAGAAGCAAA
Molecule: long non-coding RNA, 738 nt
Organism: Pantherophis guttatus
Lineage: Eukaryota; Metazoa; Chordata; Lepidosauria; Squamata; Colubridae
Source: RefSeq, a predicted model, not a curated record